GAUCAUGGCUCAGGAUGAACGCUAGCGGCAGGCUUAACACAUGCAAGUCGAGGGGUAUAGUUCUUCGGAACUAGAGACCGGCGCACGGGUGCGUAACGCGUAUGCAAUCUACCUUUUGCAGAGGGAUAGCCCAGAGAAAUUUGGAUUAAUACCUCAUAGUAUGUGAGAAUGGCAUCAUUUUCACAUUAAAGUCACAACGGCAAAAGAUGAGCAUGCGUCCCAUUAGCUUGUUGGUAAGGUAACGGCUUACCAAGGCAACGAUGGGUAGGGGUCCUGAGAGGGAGAUCCCCCACACUGGUACUGAGACACGGACCAGACUCCUACGGGAGGCAGCAGUGAGGAAUAUUGGACAAUGGGCGCAAGCCUGAUCCAGCCAUGCCGCGUGCAGGAUGACGGUCCUAUGGAUUGUAAACUGCUUUUGUACAGGAAGAAACACUGGUUCGUGAACCAGCUUGACGGUACUGUAAGAAUAAGGAUCGGCUAACUCCGUG
RNAcentral lists this ribosomal RNA (491 nucleotides) under uncultured bacterium. Its description in RNAcentral is "bacterial SSU rRNA". It matches the Rfam family "Bacterial small subunit ribosomal RNA", at positions 15 to 507 of the family's 1533-position model. The record is from RNAcentral.